GACGGUACUUGAGGAAUAAGCCACGGCUAAUUCCGUGCCAGCAGCCGCGGUAAUACGGGAGUGGCAAGCGUUAUCCGGAAUUAUUGGGCGUAAAGCGUCCGCAGGCGGCCUUGUAAGUCUGUCGUUAAAGCGUGGAGCUCAACUCCAUUUCAGCGAUGGAAACUACAAGGCUUGAGUGUGGUAGGGGCAGAGGGAAUUCCCGGUGUAGCGGUGAAAUGCGUAGAUAUCGGGAAGAACACCAGUGGCGAAGGCGCUCUGCUGGGCCAUAACUGACGCUCAUGGACGAAAGCCAGGGGAGCGAAAGGGAUUAGAUACCCCUGUAGUCCUGGCCGUAAACGAUGAACACUAGGUGUCGGGGGAAUCGACCCCCUCGGUGUCGUAGCCAACGCGUUAAGUGCUCCGCCUGGGGAGUACGCACGCAAGUGUGAAACUCAAAGGAAUUGACGGGGGCGCACAAGCGGUGGAGUAUGUGGUUUAAUUCGAUGCAACGCGAAGAACCUUACCAGGGUUUGACAUCCUGCGAAUCCCUUGGAAACGAGGGAGUGCCUUCGGGAGCGCAGAGACAGGUGGUGCAUGGCUGUCGUCAGCUCGUGUCGUGAGAUGUUGGGUUAAGUCCCGCAACGAGCGCAACCCACGUCUUUAGUUGCCAGCAUUCAGUUGGGCACUCUAGAGAGACCGCCGGUGAUAAACCGGAGGAAGGUGUGGAUGACGUCAAGUCAUCAUGCCCCUUACAUCCUGGGCUACACACGUACUACAAUGCUACGGACAAAGGGCAGCAAGCUCGCGAGAGUAAGCAAAUCCCAUAAACCGUGGCUCAGUUCAGAUCGUAGGCUGCAACUCGCCUACGUGAAGGAGGAAUCGCUAGUAAUCGCAGGUCAGCAUACUGCGGUGAAUACGUUCCCGGGCCUUGUACACACCGCCCGUCACACCAUGGAAGUUGGCCAUGCCCGAAGUCGUUACUCCAACCCUUGUGGAGGAGGACGC
RNAcentral lists this ribosomal RNA (984 nucleotides) under uncultured cyanobacterium. RNAcentral describes it as "bacterial SSU rRNA". It matches the Rfam family "Bacterial small subunit ribosomal RNA", at positions 471 to 1456 of the family's 1533-position model. Lineage: Bacteria; Bacillati; Cyanobacteriota. The record is from RNAcentral.